CCUACGGUGUGCUGCAGUGGGGAAUAUUGGACAAUGGGCGAAAGCCUGAUCCAGCCAUGCCGCGUGUGUGAAGAAGGCCUUCGGGUUGUAAAGCACUUCCAGUGGGGAAGAAAGCCUUGGGGCUAAUACCCUCGAGGAAGGACAUCACCCACAGAAGAAGCACCGGCUAACUCCGUGCCAGCAGCCGCGGUAAUACGGAGGGUUCGAGCGUUAAUCGGAAUUACUGGGCGUAAAGCGCGCGUAGGCGGUCUGAUAAGCCGGUUGUGAAAGCCCCGGGCUCAACCUGGGAACGGCAUCCGGAACUGUCAGGCUAGAGUGCAGGAGAGGAAGGUAGAAUUCCCGGUGUAGCGGUGAAAUGCGUAGAGAUCGGGAGGAAUACCAGUGGCGAAGGCGGCCUUCUGGACUGACACUGACGCUGAGGUGCGAAAGCGUGGGUAGCAAACAGGAUUAGAUACCCUUGUAGUC
This 465-nucleotide ribosomal RNA is filed under the name Vreelandella stevensii. RNAcentral describes it as "partial 16S ribosomal RNA". It matches the Rfam family "Bacterial small subunit ribosomal RNA", at positions 338 to 795 of the family's 1533-position model. The record is from RNAcentral. Lineage: Bacteria; Pseudomonadati; Pseudomonadota; Gammaproteobacteria; Oceanospirillales; Halomonadaceae.